GAACGCUGGCGGCAUGCCUUACACAUGCAAGUCGAACGGCAGCACGGGAGCAAUCCUGGUGGCGAGUGGCGAACGGGUGAGUAAUAUAUCGGAACGUGCCCAGUCGUGGGGGAUAACUACUCGAAAGAGUGGCUAAUACCGCAUACGAUCUCUGGAUGAAAGCGGGGGACCUUCGGGCCUCGCGCGAUUGGAGCGGCCGAUAUCAGAUUAGGUAGUUGGUAGGGUAAAAGCCUACCAAGCCUGCGAUCUGUAGCUGGUCUGAGAGGACGACCAGCCACACUGGAACUGAGACACGGUCCAGACUCCUACGGGAGGCAGCAGUGGGGAAUUUUGGACAAUGGGCGAAAGCCUGAUCCAGCAAUGCCGCGUGCAGGACGAAGGCCUUCGGGUUGUAAACUGCUUUUGUACGGAACGAAAAGGUAGCUCCUAAUACGAGCUGCUGAUGACGGUACCGUAAGAAUAAGCACCGGCUAACUACGUG
RNAcentral lists this ribosomal RNA (481 nucleotides) under uncultured bacterium. RNAcentral describes it as "bacterial SSU rRNA". It matches the Rfam family "Bacterial small subunit ribosomal RNA", at positions 31 to 507 of the family's 1533-position model. The record is from RNAcentral.